This 465-nucleotide ribosomal RNA is filed under the name uncultured bacterium. RNAcentral describes it as "partial 16S ribosomal RNA". It matches the Rfam family "Bacterial small subunit ribosomal RNA", at positions 339 to 795 of the family's 1533-position model. The record is from RNAcentral.
CUACGGGGCGCUCCAGUGAGGAAUUUUGCGCAAUGGGGGAAACCCUGACGCAGCAACGCCGCGUGAGUGAAGAAGGCCUUUGGGUCGUAAAGCUCUGUCAACUGGGAAGAAGUUAGAAUCUAUUAAUAGUAGAUUUUAUUGACGGUACCAGUGGAGGAAGCGCCGGCUAACUCCGUGCCAGCAGCCGCGGUAACACGGGGGGCGCAAGCGUUGUUCGGAAUUAUUGGGCGUAAAGGGCGCGCAGGCGGUCUUGUCAGUCAGGUGUGAAAGCCCGGGGCUCAACCCUGGAAGUGCACUUGAAACAGCAAGACUUGAGUACGGGAGAGGAGAGAGGAAUUCCUGGUGUAGAGGUGAAAUUCGUAGAUAUCAGGAGGAACACCGAUGGCGAAGGCAUCUCUCUGGACCGAUACUGACGCUGAGGCGCGAAGGCGUGGGUAGCGAACGGGAUUAGAUACCCCGGUAGUC